GAAUUGAGAUUAUCGAAUUGUGUUGUGUUAAGUGAAGAUAUUGAAUUUUGUGUGAUGAAUUGAGAAACUGAAUAUAAUAAGUAAGUUGGAGAUCAGUAAGUCAUUAUAUAUAAACUGCAAAGAGAGUAAGUGAGAGAUGAAUUGAUAAGAAUAUGGAAGUAUUGUUGAAUUGAUAGUCAUAGAAUGGAUUAUGUAUUGAAUUAAGAGAGAAGUAGUAAGCCUUGGUGUUUUGUAGUUUGAUAAUUGAUUUUAGAUAGCUAGAGUACAGUCAAUUGUGACACUAACAGACUCAAUUCAUAUAAUGAAUCUUUUCUCGUGUUCAAAUCCACCUCUAUUAGUUUAAUUCCUUUGAUAUAUUCAAGCUUAAAUACAACAAAAAUAAAUAUUUUGGUACCGCUG
RNAcentral lists this long non-coding RNA (399 nucleotides) under Physcomitrium patens. Its description in RNAcentral is "long non-coding RNA (PPAT_LNC003304)". The record is from RNAcentral. Lineage: Eukaryota; Viridiplantae; Streptophyta; Bryopsida; Funariales; Funariaceae.